Caerostris darwini is the source of this 73-nucleotide non-coding RNA. Lineage: Eukaryota; Metazoa; Arthropoda; Arachnida; Araneae; Araneidae. The record is from the annotation of a GenBank genome assembly.
GGGACAGCGGCAAAACGGAUAAUGCGCCUGACUACGGAUUAGGAGAUUCCCGGUUCGAAUCCAGGCUGGCUCG